UAAAACCAGCUCUUCAAGUGGUCGGGAAUAUUAUUGGGCUUAAAGUGUCCGUAGCCGGUUUGAAAAGUUCCUGGUUAAAUCUGGUAGCUUAACUAUCAGUCAGCUAGGAAUACUAUCUUACUAGAGGGUGGGAAAGGUUUGGGGUACUUCAGGGGUAGCGGUGAAAUGCGAUAAUCCUUGGGGGACCACCAGUGGCGAAGGCGCCAGACUGGAACACGCCUGACGGUGAGGGACGAAAGCCAGGGGAGCGAACGGGAUUAGAUACCCCGGUAGUCCUGGCCGUAAACGAUGCGUGCUAGGUGUUGGUAGGGCUUUGAGCCGUAUCAGUGCCGUAGGGAAACUGUUAAGCGCGCCGCCUGGGAAGUACGCUCGCAAGAGUG
Molecule: ribosomal RNA, 380 nt
Filed under: uncultured archaeon
Lineage: Archaea
Description: bacterial SSU rRNA
Rfam family: Archaeal small subunit ribosomal RNA
Source: RNAcentral